Molecule: ribosomal RNA, 460 nt
Filed under: uncultured bacterium
Lineage: Bacteria
Description: partial 16S ribosomal RNA
Rfam family: Bacterial small subunit ribosomal RNA
Source: RNAcentral
ACUACGGGUGGCAGCAGUGAGGAAUAUUGGUCAAUGGGCGGAAGCCUGAACCAGCCAAGUAGCGUGCAGGAUGACGGCCCUACGGGUUGUAAACUGCUUUUAUACGGGAAUAACGCGCCUUACGUGUAGGGCUUUGCAUGUACCGUAUGAAUAAGGACCGGCUAAUUCCGUGCCAGCAGCCGCGGUAAUACGGAAGGUCCGGGCGUUGUCCGGAUUUAUUGGGGUUAAAGGGAGCGUAGGCCGCAUGUCAAGCGUGCUGUGAAAUGUCCGGGCUCAACCCGGGCCUUGCAGCGCGAACUGGCGUGCUUGAGUCCGCGGAAGGCAGGCGGAAUUCGUCGUGUAGCGGUGAAAUGCUUAGAUAUGACGAAGAACCCCGAUUGCGAAGGCAGCUUGCUGCAGCGGAACUGACGCUGAUGCUCGAAAGCGCGGGUAUCGAACAGGAUUAGAUACCCGGGUAGUC